Molecule: ribosomal RNA, 231 nt
Filed under: uncultured bacterium
Lineage: Bacteria
Description: partial 16S ribosomal RNA
Rfam family: Bacterial small subunit ribosomal RNA
Source: RNAcentral
UGAGGAACAUGACCUUCGGCGGGGGAUAGCCGGCCCAACGGCCGGGUAAUACCGCGUACGACCACAUGGGGACAUCCCCGAGUGGUGAAAGCAGCAAUGCGCCGAUGGAGUGCCUCGCGGCCUAUCAGCUAGUUGGUGAGGUAACGCUCACCAAGGCGACGACGGGUAGCUGGUCUGAGAGGAUGGCCAGCCACAUUGGGACUGAGACACGGCCCAGACUCCGUAGGGAGG